GGCGGACGGGUGAGUAAUGCUUGGGAACUUGCCUUUGCGAGGGGGAUAACAGUUGGAAACGACUGCUAAUACCGCAUAAUGUCUUCGGACCAAACGGGGCUUCGGCUCCGGCGCAAAGAGAGGCCCAAGUGAGAUUAGCUAGUUGGUAAGGUAACGGCUUACCAAGGCGACGAUCUCUAGCUGUUCUGAGAGGAAGAUCAGCCACACUGGGACUGAGACACGGCCCAGACUCCUACGGGAGGCAGCAGUGGGGAAUAUUGCACAAUGGGGGAAACCCUGAUGCAGCCAUGCCGCGUGUGUGAAGAAGGCCUUCGGGUUGUAAAGCACUUUCAGUUGUGAGGAAAAGUUAGUAGUUAAUACCUGCUAGCCGUGACGUUAACAACAGAAGAAGCACCGGCUAACUCCGUGCCAGCAGCCGCGGUAAUACGGAGGGUGCGAGCGUUAAUCGGAAUUACUGGGCGUAAAGCGCACGCAGGCGGUUUGUUAAGCUAGAUGUGAAAGCCCCGGGCUCAACCUGGGAUGGUCAUUUAGAACUGGCAGACUAGAGUCUUGGAGAGGGGAGUGGAAUUCCAGGUGUAGCGGUGAAAUGCGUAGAUAUCUGGAGGAACAUCAGUGGCGAAGGCGACUCCCUGGCCAAAGA
This 640-nucleotide ribosomal RNA is filed under the name Alteromonas macleodii. RNAcentral's name for it is "bacterial SSU rRNA". It matches the Rfam family "Bacterial small subunit ribosomal RNA", at positions 97 to 739 of the family's 1533-position model. Lineage: Bacteria; Pseudomonadati; Pseudomonadota; Gammaproteobacteria; Alteromonadales; Alteromonadaceae. The record is from RNAcentral.